Molecule: small RNA, 363 nt
Filed under: Capra hircus (goat)
Lineage: Eukaryota; Metazoa; Chordata; Mammalia; Artiodactyla; Bovidae
Description: sRNA (ENSCHIG00000006521.1)
Source: RNAcentral
CCUACUGUUUAAACUUUAAGAUGAUCCCUAACUGGCUUAAAGUCCUCAACCCACAGCAGAGGAAAACGUUGCAGAAAAAAAAAAAAGAAAAACAAGGUCAUGCUGCAUUUUUUUGGUAAGCACAGGAAUCAACAUAGAGAUGUUAUGUAACUUCUAUUUAUAUCCUCCUUGCUCACUAUCUGCAGGCAGACAAGAGUCGCUGAGAAGGGAUUUAAUGAGCUCUCUGGGUUUGCUCACCUUCCUGAGCUGGUAGGAACCAGCUUGUUCUCAAGUGCGUCAGCAAAGAAUCUGCCUGUGGGUGGGCGGCCGGGGUAGGUGGACAGACUUGUUGCCAUGGUGUUCUUUAAUUCCCCUGUCUCUCAG